UCCUGGUUAGCUCAGUUUGUAGAGCGUUCCAUUGGAAGUGAAAAGGUCCCUCUUUCGAUACCAGGACCAGAAG
Molecule: transfer RNA, 73 nt
Filed under: Ixodes scapularis (black-legged tick)
Lineage: Eukaryota; Metazoa; Arthropoda; Arachnida; Ixodida; Ixodidae
Rfam family: tRNA
About the family: Transfer RNA (tRNA) molecules are approximately 80 nucleotides in length. Their secondary structure includes four short double-helical elements and three loops (D, anti-codon, and T loops).
Source: Rfam by way of RNAcentral